AGCGAACACUGGCGGCAGGCUUAACACAUGCAAGUCGAGCGGGCACUUCGGUGUCAGCGGCAGACGGGUGAGUAACACGUGGGAACGUACCCUUUGGUUCGGAAUAACGCUGGGAAACUAGCGCUAAUACCGGAUACGCCCUUUUGGGGAAAGGCUUGCUGCCGAAGGAUCGGCCCGCGUCUGAUUAGCUAGUUGGUGGGGUAAUGGCCUACCAAGGCGACGAUCAGUAGCUGGUCGGAGAGGAUGAUCAGCCACACUGGGACUGCGACACGGCCCAGACUCCUACGGGAGGCAGCAGUGGGGAAUAUUGGACAAGGGGCGCAAGCCUGAUCCAGCCAUGCCGCGUGAGUGAUGAAGGCCUUAGGGUUGUAAAGCUCUUUUGUCCGGGACGAUAAUGACGGUACCGGAAGAAUAAGCCCCGGCUAACUUCGUG
This 433-nucleotide ribosomal RNA is filed under the name uncultured bacterium. RNAcentral describes it as "partial 16S ribosomal RNA". It matches the Rfam family "Bacterial small subunit ribosomal RNA", at positions 29 to 507 of the family's 1533-position model. The record is from RNAcentral.